ACACGCACGAGUUUUCAAAAGAGCUCCCGUUACCACGCGGUGUUCGGUGACACUCACCCCGCCUUUGUUCUUAUUGAGCACGCGUGUGUAAGACAAGGAUUUUGCUCUGCGGUACAUUUUUGAAUGUGACCAAAGUGACAACUUCAGGCCCGCUGGCCACGAAUGGCGGUAUGGUAAGUGCGCCCAUCCCUGGACAGACAGGAUUCGAUCCUCUUGCGAUCAACCCUCUGUACCCCUACUCUCGUCCAGCCACGCCCAUCUGAUCCAGAGGUACAGUGCACUCAUCAGAGGCCAACCAUGGUCUUCAGGAUGUUACAAGGGUUGUGGACAAAGCCACUAAAUAUACAGCUGAUGGAUUCUAUUUGAGCAUCGGUGGGUUAAAAAAUGCAGAGAACAAUUUGCUUACAUCUUCACAUUUGAGGGGUAUCAGAUGCAUCUGAGCCACUGUCGAUGCAGGCAAUGACAGCCGCCCGACAGACAUCCGCUGAGGCGCAGGUUCGCCCAAGGUCCGCCUCUCUAAUGUUCCUUCUACCUCUGCUAAUCCAGCGAUCCAUCCAUGCUCUCCACUUAGAACCUGUGGGAGCACCGCUCCUCAGAACACAAGUGGCCAACUUUCACACCAAGAGCCAAGCUUGACAUUGAGACAAGAAAUUAUGCAGAGGCUCCACGCCAUGAUGGCCCAACAACAAGCUGUUAGUAAUGGUGGGAAGCAACCAAUGUGGAUGCAAGAGAUAUGAGACAGGCGGGACAGCAGCUUUUACGGUCAUCAACGUCAAGUCCACCAUCAACUCCUGCCAUCAGUCUCACCCCCGUGUUGACCUCAACACACCCACCAACACCAUGUAGACCACCAAAUCAACCACCGGGGUGAUGUCUUCAGAGCAACUUAUCCAACUCUCCCAACACCUCUAAUUGCGCCACCUGCCUCUAUCCCAGCAUCCAAUGACAACAGGUGAUCUAGCAUGUUCACCGGUACCAUCCCUCUCAUCGAUUCUACCAGCUGUGCCCAUGCCUGUGGCCCUGGCAACUUCAUCAGUAGUGCCACCAAUUAAGUCCACCUCUUCCCACACCACCCCUGACACCACCUCCAUCCACUCCAGCAAACUGAUGACAGGUAGUCUGCUGCGUCCACAUGGCCUGACCCUGCCAUCAAAUCAACAAGCUGUUCUUCUUCCUAUCAUCGCUCCUGCCCAAGACAAUCCAUCAAAGGUAGUUCCGCCAUCAACACCACGAACACUUGCACCGACACCUUCAUGGACACCACAUCAAUCAGUGCUAAUGCUAUUCCUCUACCAACACUAGCCGCACCUUGCCCACCUCCCGGGAGCUCCCCCAACAAGGCUAGCUACAGUUACGCUUUCCCAUCCAACUACACUGGCAGUUCAGUCAGCAGCACCUGUCCAAGUCACACCACUUACUUUUGCAAAAGGAGACGACGUGCAACCAUUCAAAAACCACCAGUCAUUGGAAAGAAGCAAAGGGAAGGGACUCACCUCUAGUACAGGCUCAGCUAACACAGCCCACUGUGCAGAGGUUCCAAGCCCCCUUACCAGCUGAGUUACCUUUCAUCCCGAUACAAAAAUAUGAUGACUUGGAGGAUGUAACUAACCAAGGACAGCCUGUCGCCUUGGGACUGGAGCAUUUGGUGACAUCCUUCUAAAGAGAAGGAAGUCGGUGGGUGGUCAUCAAGUGGCUUAGGAAAGUACAAGACCCAAAUGAAGCAUGUAUGGAAAAUGAUCAAAGAUAUCAGAUGCAUGAUUGCCGUGCAACAUCACCAUGAAUUCCCCACCCUUUGGGGAAUUCAUUUGGGAAAUUCAAUGACCAGAAAACAUCAUCACCGCCAUUGAGUUUAUCAGCAGUGGAACAAACUUCACAUGUACUGAUCUCUACUUUUUUCUGCUCAAUCCGCCUGACUUGACCACAACGGACUACAUCCACAUAUGCCUGGACAUAUCAAGAGGACUGCUUGCCCUGCAUGAGGCUGGAUGGUCCCACAAUGACCUGUAUACUUGCAACAUCAUGAUUUGGCGUGAUCCAGGCAGGUCCAACAACUGGACUGCCAAAAUUAUCAACCUGGGACUCGUUACGAGGAUCGACCUACCACCACCAACAUUUAUGUUUGACUCACUCAAGAAGUCGUGGUGUUAUUAAAACUUCCCACACAUAGCCCCAGAUACCGUAGACGGUGUAUGCCAGCAAGGAGUUAAAGCAGAAAUCCACAGUUUAAGAUACUUAGUCCACAUAACAGCAGACAACAAGGGAGAGCAUUGCAAAGCUAGAAUGCCACAUGACCGCCCCACCUUGGAAUCAGUCAUUAGGAAUAUUGGAAAUCUGUUGGCUGCUAGAAGUGGUGCAGUACCAUAGAAAAGUGAAUCUAAUUCUUUGGUUCAACAAAUUUUGACAAAUAAAAAACGAAAAAUAAAAAGUACAAUUUUUGCGCUAUUGUUAAAGAAAACCACGACAUGUAAUCUUUUAGAAAGGUUUAACUUGGUACCUGAGAAAGUUAGUAUAUCAGUAUGUAGUGGUUAGUCUAUAUGUUGAAAGAUCCAUGAACAAUGAUGACAACAUUAAUACGAUUGCACACUGCUGACCGUCACUGCACCCUGUGUCAAAAAAUACAAAAGUGCUGCCUAAAAUAAACCCAAGCAAGCAACAGUGAUAGUUUACUUCUGAGAAUGGAGGCUGUACAGCAAUUGCAAGUGGAUAAAAUUAUCCCUAGGCAACAUCAACUGGAAUUUAUUUUUUUGAAAGAGACAAACUGAAAUGCAAAAUGGUUUUCAAAGUAUUGAGAAUUACGGAUCACCUUGUCAUUUCAAAUUAUUCCUUAAUUCACAUGCAGGAAGUUGGUAUGGAAUUCUUUGGUCAUGAAUGACGAUAGCAAAACUUGAGAAUCACCUUAAAUAGAGGUAUCAGUUAUGAGUUGCAAGACACUGGGUACAUGAAAGUCACGGUCUUGUAAAUUCUACAGUUUAAUAAACUGUUUAAAAAUGAAAGGUGCAUCUCCACUUGUCUUUAAGUUUGUAUAUGACAUUCAUGGAUCAGCUCAAUACAACACAACUAAUUCUUGGUGAUGCAAUCCACAAUUUAACCAUAGGAAAGGGGCCAGGGGGCAGAAUCCCAAAAUUAUCCAAAAAGUAAAACUGGUGGUUUUUAUGACAAUUUUCUAUUUCUUUAACCCAAAUUUCUCAUACGCCAAUCAAUCCGCCCAACAAAAGAGAG
Acanthaster planci (crown-of-thorns starfish) is the source of this 3219-nucleotide long non-coding RNA. The record is from RefSeq and is a predicted model, not a curated record. Lineage: Eukaryota; Metazoa; Echinodermata; Asteroidea; Valvatida; Acanthasteridae.